CUCGCCCGGGAACUACGAGCAUAAGCUUAAAACCCAAAGGACUUGGCGGUGCUUUAGACCCCCCUAGAGGAGCCUGUUCUAGAACCGAUAACCCCCGUUCAACCUCACCCUCCCUUGUUUUCCCCGCCUAUAUACCGCCGUCGUCAGCUUACCCUGUGAAGGGUACAUAGUAAGCAGAAUUGGCACACCCCAAAACGUCAGGUCGAGGUGUAGCGCAUGAGAGGGGAAGAAAUGGGCUACAUUUGCUGACACAGCACAUACGAAUAAUGCAUUGAAACCAUGCAUCUGAAGGAGGAUUUAGCAGUAAGAAGGAGAAUAGAGAGUUCCCCUGAAACUGGCCCUGAAGCGCGCACACACCGCCCGUCACUCUCCCCGAAACCAAAACAAGCCAUAAAUAAACCGCAAUAAACAUGAAGGGGAGGCAAGUCGUAACAUGGUAAGUGUACCGGAAGGUGCACUUGGAAAAAU
This 468-nucleotide ribosomal RNA is filed under the name Eleotris sp. NMBE 1066558. RNAcentral's name for it is "partial 12S ribosomal RNA". It matches the Rfam family "Bacterial small subunit ribosomal RNA", at positions 868 to 1533 of the family's 1533-position model. Lineage: Eukaryota; Metazoa; Chordata; Actinopteri; Gobiiformes; Eleotridae. The record is from RNAcentral.